AGUGAACGCUGGCGGUAGGCCUAACACAUGCAAGUCGAACGGCAGCACAGUAAGAGCUUGCUCUUACGGGUGGCGAGUGGCGGACGGGUGAGGAAUACAUCGGAAUCUACUUUUUCGUGGGGGGUAACGUAGGGAAACUUACGCUAAUACCGCAUACGACCUACGGGUGAAAGCAGGGGAUCUUCGGACCUUGCGCGAUUGAAUGAGCCGAUGUCGGAUUAGCUAGUUGGCGGGGUAAAGGCCCACCAAGGCGACGAUCCGUAGCUGGUCUGAGAGGAUGAUCAGCCACACUGGAACUUAGACACGGUCCAGACUCCUACGGGAGGCAGCAGUGGGGAAUAUUGGACAAUGGGCGCAAGCCUUAUCCAGCCAUACCGCGUGGGUGAAGAAGGCCUUCGGGUUGUAAAGCCCUUUUGUUGGGAAAGAAAAGCAGCAGGUUAAUACCCCGCUGUUCUGACGGUACCCAAAGAAUAAGCACCGGCUAACUUCGUG
This 492-nucleotide ribosomal RNA is filed under the name uncultured bacterium. RNAcentral's name for it is "partial 16S ribosomal RNA". It matches the Rfam family "Bacterial small subunit ribosomal RNA", at positions 29 to 507 of the family's 1533-position model. The record is from RNAcentral.